GGAGAAUUGUAGGCUUUUCUUAUACAAUACUUUAUUUUUCAGAGACAAUCCGCCAGGACGGCGGAUUGAGCUUGCUCUUGCCCAAGGAUGGGCAAUUGCAAGCGUUCUCGUCACUUACCAAUAAAUAAAAUGUAUUGUAUUAGAAAACCACA
Molecule: non-coding RNA, 152 nt
Filed under: pig gut metagenome
Source: RNAcentral